Molecule: ribosomal RNA, 253 nt
Filed under: uncultured bacterium
Lineage: Bacteria
Description: partial 16S ribosomal RNA
Rfam family: Bacterial small subunit ribosomal RNA
Source: RNAcentral
GACAGAGGGGGCAAGCGUUGCUCGGAAUCACUGGGCGUAAAGGGCGCGUAGGCGGGAUGGCAAGUCGGUCGUGAAAUCCUUCGGCUCAACCGAAGAACGUCGGCCGAUACUGCCGUUCUUGAGGGAUGCAGAGGAGAUUGGAAUUCCCGGUGUAGCGGUGAAAUGUGUAGAGAUCGGGAGGAACACCGGUGGCGAAGGCGGUUCUCUGGGCCUUACCUGACGCUGAGGAGCGAAAGCGUGGGGAGCGAACAGG